Long non-coding RNA from Chenopodium quinoa (quinoa), 1172 nucleotides. RefSeq lists it as uncharacterized. The record is from RefSeq and is a predicted model, not a curated record. Lineage: Eukaryota; Viridiplantae; Streptophyta; Magnoliopsida; Caryophyllales; Amaranthaceae. The transcript is spliced from 2 exons.
UAUGCUAGACUUAUUGGGGAACGGGAAAACAAGAAAUAAAGAAAAUUCAUGAAAAUCCUAAAAAAUUGAAGUGUCUUGUUAAUCACAUGACUAGAACUCGAUUAAACAUGCAUUGAUAAGGAAAGAGCAUAGUGUAUGAGGUGAAUGAUAUGUAUGGGGAAAGCAUGUAGGAGGAAAGUAUGCAGAAAGGUAUAUGUGUAUAGGGAAAAUAUGUGAAUGUGGAAAGUGUUUAAGAAGGAAAGUAUGAGGUAUGUAGUGUAUGGAAAGUGAUGUAAAGGAAAACUACUACAUUUUUUAUCAAAUGCAACGAUAAAAAAUAAGCUUAUGUGACGACCUUUUUUUUUUUUUUUUUUUUUUUUUCACCGUUGUAUUAGAUAAGCCUAAUGCAACGGCUUGUAUUUCUAUACUCCAAAAAGUAGGGCUAAUGCGACGGUUGUAAUCAACCUUUGCAUCUGAUGUGCUAAUACAACGGCUGGAUGGGCUAAGCAACGACAAUGAUUUUGAAUAUAAAAAGCGCCUAAAUUUUUUUGAUUCCUGCUUAUUGUUUUCCAAAAUUUAAAACCUUUCACAUCCUAGUUUAAUUUAAUAAAAAAAAAAUUAAAUAUAGAAAAAGAAAAGUUGAAGAGUACACGGGAAGAAAAAUAAACCAAACAAAAUCCUUUCUUUUCUAACCUCAUGCUGCUCCAAUAAAGAGAAAUAGUUUAGGAAGUGUGGGUAAAUUAAUCAAAUGCAGGCUUCAUAAAUUGCUUCAUAAAUUAUUCCCACCCAAUUGCUUCUCCAAUUUUCACAAAUGAACUUAAUUUCAAUUGGAAGGCAGGACAUGGCAAGGGUUCGCUUAGGCUACGAUGAACGGCGGUGCUUAGGCAACGACGAACGGUUGCACUCAUGCCUUGGUAAACGACAAUUCUCAUCAAGCGAGAAUACGAUGACAACUCUCUCUUCGGCUACAAAACAUCUCUCUCUAGCUUCAAGAUAGAUUUUGGUUUUUGCCAUAUAUGUUGUAGCAGCCAAACAAAUGUUGAAAAUAUUGUAUUUGAGAAACAUGAUUUAGCUUUGAUAAGUUUUUUUUCCUUAGUUAUUUUAUUAAGUGAUAUUUGAUUUUGUAACUUUCAUUAAGGGAAAUAAUGUACAAACCUCCAAUUUAUAUUAAUGAAAUUGUGAUUUAAUAACAA